GCCGAUUCCUCCCUCUUGUAGAACCGUAAUGCCAUUAAUUUGGUGUUGCGGGGAAACAGGACUGUUACUUUGAAAAAAUUAGAGUGUUUAAAGCAGGCUAGCGCCUGAAUACAUUAGCAUGGAAUAAUGAAAUAGGACGUUCGAACCUAUUUUGUUGGUUUCUAGGAUUGACGUAAUGAUUAAUAGGGAUAGUUGGGGGCAUUAGUAUUCAAUUGUCAGAGGUGAAAUUCUUGGAUUUAUUGAAGACUGACUACUGCGAAAGCAUUUGCCAAGGAUGUUUUCAUUAAUCAAGAACGAAAGUUAGGGGAUCGAAGACGAUCAGAUACCGUCGUAGUCUUAACCAUAAACUAUGCCGACUAGGGAUCGGAUGAUGUUAAUUUUUUAAUGACUCAUUCGGCGCCUUACG
Molecule: ribosomal RNA, 406 nt
Filed under: uncultured Glomeromycotina
Lineage: Eukaryota; Fungi; Glomeromycota
Description: SSU rRNA
Rfam family: Eukaryotic small subunit ribosomal RNA
Source: RNAcentral